AUGCGAGCGUUAUCCGGAUUUAUUGGGCGUAAAGCGAGUGCAGGCGGUUCAAUAAGUCUGAUGUGAAAGCCUUCGGCUCAACCGGAGAAUUGCAUCAGAAACUGUUGAACUUGAGUGCAGAAGAGGAGAGUGGAACUCCAUGUGUAGCGGUGGAAUGCGUAGAUAUAUGGAAGAACACCAGUGGCGAAGGCGGCUCUCUGGUCUGCAACUGACGCUGAGGCUCGAAAGCAUGGGUAGCAAACAG
Molecule: ribosomal RNA, 244 nt
Filed under: uncultured bacterium
Lineage: Bacteria
Description: partial 16S ribosomal RNA
Rfam family: Bacterial small subunit ribosomal RNA
Source: RNAcentral